Molecule: non-coding RNA, 29 nt
Filed under: Mus musculus (house mouse)
Lineage: Eukaryota; Metazoa; Chordata; Mammalia; Rodentia; Muridae
Source: RNAcentral
CAGGACAGGCAUUCACUUCAUGGACUUCC